This 450-nucleotide ribosomal RNA is filed under the name uncultured bacterium. Its description in RNAcentral is "partial 16S ribosomal RNA". It matches the Rfam family "Bacterial small subunit ribosomal RNA", at positions 354 to 796 of the family's 1533-position model. The record is from RNAcentral.
GUGGGGAAUCUUCCGCAAUGGACGAAAGUCUGACGGAGCAACGCCGCGUGAGUGAAGAAGGUUUUCGGAUCGUAAAGCUCUUUCGUUAGGGACGAACGUGCUCUUUGUGAAUAAUGAGGAGUAAUGACGGUACCUAAAUAAGAAGCCACGGCUAACUACGUGCCAGCAGCCGCGGUAAUACGUAGGUGGCAAGCGUUGUCUGGAAUUAUUGGGCGUAACGAGCGCGCAGGAGGGAUAUCAAGUCUGUCGUAAAAGUGCGAGGCUCAACCUCGUGAGGGGACAGAAACUUGUAUGCAUGAGUGUCGGAGAGGAAAGUGGAAAUCCAAGUGUAGCGGUGAAAUGCGUAGAGAUUUGGAAGAACACCAGUGGCGAAGGCGACUUUCUGGACGAUGUCUGACGCUGAGGCGCGAAAGCUAGGGGAGCGAACGGGAUUAGAAACCCUUGUAGUCC